This 401-nucleotide unclassified non-coding RNA is filed under the name soil metagenome. Its description in RNAcentral is "partial contains 5.8S ribosomal RNA, internal transcribed spacer 2, and large subunit ribosomal RNA". The stretch from base 1 to 121 matches the Rfam family "5.8S ribosomal RNA", at positions 35 to 154 of the family's 154-position model. The record is from RNAcentral.
GAUGAAGAACGUAGUGAAAUGCGAUAAGUAAUGUGAAUUGCAGAAUUCAGUGAAUCAUCGAAUCUUUGAACGCACCUUGCGCCCUUUGGCCAUUCCGAAGGGCAUGCCUGUUUGAGUAUCAUGAACACCUCAACUCUCAUGGCUUGCCAUGAUGAGCUUGGACUUUGGGGGUCUUGCUGGCCUGUGGUCGGCUCCUCUCAAAUGAAUCAACUUGCCAGUGUUUGGUGGCAUCACAAGUGUGAUAACUAUCUGCGCUCGUGGUUUCCAUCAGAUAACCUCCAGUGAUGGAGGUUCGCUGGAGCUCAUAAAUGUCUCUCCUAAGCGAGGACAGCUCUUUUAAUGUUUGAUCUCAAAUCAGGUAGGACUACCCGCUGAACUUAAGCAUAUCAAUAAGCGGAGGA